This 722-nucleotide ribosomal RNA is filed under the name uncultured Fusobacterium sp. RNAcentral describes it as "bacterial SSU rRNA". It matches the Rfam family "Bacterial small subunit ribosomal RNA", at positions 28 to 776 of the family's 1533-position model. Lineage: Bacteria; Fusobacteriati; Fusobacteriota; Fusobacteriia; Fusobacteriales; Fusobacteriaceae. The record is from RNAcentral.
GAUGAACGCUGACAGAAUGCUUAACACAUGCAAGUCAACUUGAACUUCGGUUUGGGUGGCGGACGGGUGAGUAACGCGUAAAGAACUUGCCUCACAGAUAGGGACAACAUUUGGAAACGAAUGCUAAUACCUGAUAUUAUGAUUAUAUGGCAUCGUAUAAUUAUGAAAGCUAUAUGCGCUGUGAGAGAGCUUUGCGUCCCAUUAGCUAGUUGGAGAGGUAACGGCUCACCAAGGCGAUGAUGGGUAGCCGGCCUGAGAGGGUGAUCGGCCACAAGGGGACUGAGACACGGCCCUUACUCCUACGGGAGGCAGCAGUGGGGAAUAUUGGACAAUGGACCAAGAGUCUGAUCCAGCAAUUCUGUGUGCACGAUGAAGUUUUUCGGAAUGUAAAGUGCUUUCAGUUGGGAAGAAAAAAAUGACGGUACCAACAGAAGAAGUGACGGCUAAAUACGUGCCAGCAGCCGCGGUAAUACGUAUGUCACAAGCGUUAUCCGGAUUUAUUGGGCGUAAAGCGCGUCUAGGUGGUUAUGUAAGUCUGAUGUGAAAAUGCAGGGCUCAACUCUGUAUUGCGUUGGAAACUGUAUAACUAGAGUACUGGAGAGGUAAGCGGAACUACAAGUGUAGAGGUGAAAUUCGUAGAUAUUUGUAGGAAUGCCGAUGGGGAAGCCAGCUUACUGGACAGAUACUGACGCUGAAGCGCGAAAGCGUGGGUAGCAAACAGG